GGAUACAUAGCUCAGUAGGUAGAGCAUUCGACCGAUAAUCGAAAGGUCACAGGUUCAAUCCCUGUUGUAUCCACCA
RNAcentral lists this transfer RNA (76 nucleotides) under Chloroflexota bacterium. RNAcentral's name for it is "tRNA-Ile". It matches the Rfam family "tRNA". Rfam says of the family: Transfer RNA (tRNA) molecules are approximately 80 nucleotides in length. Lineage: Bacteria; Bacillati; Chloroflexota. The record is from RNAcentral.